This 16-nucleotide ribosomal RNA is filed under the name Tetradesmus obliquus. RNAcentral's name for it is "partial 18S ribosomal RNA". The record is from RNAcentral. Lineage: Eukaryota; Viridiplantae; Chlorophyta; Chlorophyceae; Sphaeropleales; Scenedesmaceae.
GCGGAAGGAUCAUUGA